CAGGUGUUCACUGGCACAGUUUCGGCUCACUACAUACUUGUCCUCCUGGACUAAAAACAUCCACCCAUCUCGACCUCCCAAGUAGCUGAAACCACAGGGACUCUUCAUAAUUAUGGACCAUGCUGACAAUCUGCAUGACAACGGAAAUAUUCAAACAAAACUGACCCAGUCUCUCUUUCCUGCUACCACGUGAAGAAGGUGUUUGCUUCCCCUUUGCCUUCCGCCAUGAUUCUAAGUUUCUUGAGGUCUCUCCAACCACGUAGAACUGUG
Callithrix jacchus (white-tufted-ear marmoset) is the source of this 270-nucleotide long non-coding RNA. RefSeq lists it as uncharacterized. NCBI's taxonomy places the organism in Eukaryota, Metazoa, Chordata, Mammalia, Primates, Cebidae. The record is from RefSeq and is a predicted model, not a curated record.